This is a long non-coding RNA of Acanthaster planci (crown-of-thorns starfish), 2565 nucleotides long. The record is from RefSeq and is a predicted model, not a curated record. Lineage: Eukaryota; Metazoa; Echinodermata; Asteroidea; Valvatida; Acanthasteridae.
UUCUGAGUAUAUGUGUUACACUUUAAGAUACGGAUGUACGUGCAACAUGAACCAAUGGAUCAGCGUGACGUACCUUGGAGAUUCAUCAUCCAGGGCAGUUACAAUGUUCUAGAAACUGGUAUGAAAAGACAACUCAGCCGAAGACAAACAGCACAUAGUGGAAAAGCAAUCUCACAAGGAAGACGUGGAACAACAUUCUAUGGUCCUCGCUGAACUUGGUACAACCUCACCAGAACGCAACAUGAAGCUUGUGAUUGCUUACUGUAUGUUGGUCGUCUUGGCUAUGACUUUGCCACAAACACAGUGUUCCGUUUGUACCUACGCCAGCGUAGAGAGUUACACUGUACAAUGUGGAUUUUUGGGAAUUGCUAGAUGCACCAGAUACAGGAACGUAGUUCGUUAUCGAUACUGCUCUGCUGGAGCAACCAGCGGUAGCUGCUCCUAGCUAAGAGCUACCGGACCAUGAACCUGAGAGACCAGACCCUGAACCUGAGAGACCAGACGAUGGCUUUCCUCGACCUUUGUGAGAUCAACGUUGGAUCUUCUGACUACUCACCAUCAUAAACGACGUCGCUAGGCCUACACCUAAUACGUGUAUUUAGUUCUUUCAUAACAAUCGAUAUUUUCAAUGGAAAACGUACACGGGAAGAAGAUUCUUUGAAAUGUUGUUAGGUCGAACAAUGCUAUUAGACUUUUUAAUCAGUAUUUCAGGAAUGCAUUUUUUAAAAAAUACAUAUCUCACAAACCCCAUAGCAUGGCUGCAGCCUCAAUGGCAUGGUAGAACGCCCGCCUGUUGAGAACGUUUUACUCAACAGUCUGUGGAAACCAGGUUUGAAAAAGGGUUGGAAUCCCAGAAGAGCUCUUUAUUUUUCUUUCAAAUUGCUUUUUUUCUUUAUAAAUAUUAAUGUCUUGGGUUUUUUUUUUAAUGCAAGUAAAGUCCAAAUUUCAACGGGGGCUCUCAUUAGGUGUGAAGAAUAGUCUCCUCCCAAGACUGCCAAGAAAAAUUCCCAUAGGAAAGUACACUUUAUAUCCCCAGAAUGUUGUGUAAAAUGCUUCCCACUGCUACUCGGCCACAACUUUUCUAGCGAUGAAUACGGCCAUAUAGUGCGCCACCACGAGUUUGCAACGCGUUGGCCAAUCAUAAUGCGCGAAAUCUUUCGACCAAAUGCGCGUUUGGAGAGGGUCGACAGAUUUGGUGCGUUGUGAUUGAACGCAUUUUAAACUCUUGGUGGCGCACUAUUGUGAAUCGCCGGUAUUCGACGCAGGUACGGGCAAUGAAACUAGGACUAGUCAUCUCCAAGACGGCAAAUUUCCGUCAGUACGGCUUCAAAAAUUGUGAUUUCAUUAUUAUCAUCUCAAAGCGACAAUCCCCAUACUUGACCAUGGAAAUUGAUUAUCCGAGUUUUAAUUUAUCUCAUUUCUUUUAAUUGGAGCUCGUCAUAGACUUGUAAUAAUGACACAGAAACCAUUUUAUAGACCGCUGAGUGGUUUCAAACGCCAGAAAUUUGUAGGGUGAGCAGUAUCAUAACUAUCUGUCUGUGCAUUUACCUCAACAUACGAAUGCAAUCGGAAAAUCUGUAACUUGCGAAUGAUUUACUCAGAAAAUACCCACUUUUAAUCAUCAGUAAAUUUUAGAAAUAAGGAACGAAAACAGGCAGUGCCAUCUUUUAAAUAUCCAUUGAAAUUAAAACAGUUUAUUCGGGUUGCUUGUGGUUUGUAGCCAGCACUCGUGAAUUUGCAAGGUAUUACUGUUUCACGAAACCUAAGUAUAAUGUCUAUAAAGUUGUAUGCACCUUCGCUUUGCUACGUCACAAGCGCCGAUUUUGCUGUCUGUACUUUUACCAGUUAUUAAUUAACCGAGAAGUGCCGGGUCAAGAUGCUUACUCUCUCGACCUUCGCUUGGGUUUGCCUCCCGACAGCCAGAGUCGAUUGUGCACUUUUUCGGCAUGUUUUUCGUAGUUUAGCUUAGCACCUACGUAUCAUGUCAGUUUUGUAAUUUCUGCCUGACAUCUUAAUAUAUUUUAGCACCUUCAUGUAAAGCAAUCGCACUAGUGUAUUUAAUUGGGUAGAUGGGAAACGAACCAAGCAGGGAAUGUUUUUCCAAGGGUCGGUAGAUAUCAUGCCGGGUGUGGGUCUUAUUGUAUGUCUCGCUUCUGAGAAGUAAAAGAACUGACCAAGCAUGCAAAAUGUACACAGGCAGUUUGUUACGUCUUUAAUAAAAUGGACCCCAUGGCUACCUAUCGCGGGAAUGGCUGGGUGGAAGGGGCUGACCCUUCAAAAUUUAAGUUUAAAGUAAAAGAGACAAGGGGUGAAAACCGCGUGCUCCCCUGCCUUGCAGUUUAGCGCCCUCUACUUUGACAGUUUGUCCAUAUACUGCUGUCGAAUGCUCUNCCUCCUCCUUGGUAAGAAUUAUAACCCCGCCACCUGUAAAUGCUGGAUCCCUCACUGUUUAUCAUAAUAUAAUUCUGCGCAUGAAGGAAUGAAUGUUUAUUUGAGUGUAUGCUUACAUUGAUGGCUUUGCCGAAAUGUGUUUAACCAUCUUAUAAAUAAAUUCACUAGUUUGAU